Molecule: ribosomal RNA, 426 nt
Filed under: uncultured Chamaesiphon sp.
Lineage: Bacteria; Bacillati; Cyanobacteriota; Cyanophyceae; Gomontiellales; Chamaesiphonaceae
Description: bacterial SSU rRNA
Rfam family: Bacterial small subunit ribosomal RNA
Source: RNAcentral
UGGGGAAUUUUCCGCAAUGGGCGCAAGCCUGACGGAGCAAUACCGCGUGAGGGAGGAAGGCUCUUGGGUCGUAAACCUCUUUUGUCAGGGAAGAACACAAUGACGGUACCUGAGGAAUAAGCAUCGGCUAACUCCGUGCCAGCAGCCGCGGUAAUACGGAGGAUGCAAGCGUUAUCCGGAAUGAUUGGGCGUAAAGCGUCCGUAGGUGGUUUUGUAAGUCUGUGGUUAAAGCGUGGAGCUCAACUCCAUAAGGGCCAUGGAAACUACAAGACUAGAGUGAAGUAGGGGUAGAGGGAAUUCCCAGUGUAGCGGUGAAAUGCGUAGAGAUUGGGAAGAACACCGGUGGCGAAAGCGCUCUACUGGACUUANACUGACACUGAGGGACGAAAGCUAGGGGAGCGAAAGGGAUUAGAUACCCCUGUAGUC